GACGAACCGUGCGAACGUUAUUCGGAAUCACUGGGCUUAAAGCGCGUGUAGGCGGGCCGGCGCGUUCGCCGCUGAAAUCCCCCGGCUCAACCGGGGAAGGGGCGCGAAUACGGCCGGCCUGGAGGGGGGUAGGGGGCGCCGGAACUCACGGUGGAGCGGUGAAAUGCGUUGAGAUCGUGAGGAACGCCCGUGGCGAAAGCGGGCGCCUGGACCCCGCCUGACGCUGAGACGCGAAAGCCAGGGGAGCGAACGGG
This 254-nucleotide ribosomal RNA is filed under the name uncultured bacterium. Its description in RNAcentral is "partial 16S ribosomal RNA". It matches the Rfam family "Bacterial small subunit ribosomal RNA", at positions 524 to 776 of the family's 1533-position model. The record is from RNAcentral.